AUUGAACGCUAGCGGGAUGCCUUACACAUGCAAGUCGAACGGAGUGGCGAACGGGUGAGUAAUGUAUCGGAACGUGCCCAGUAGCGGGGGAUAACUACGCGAAAGCGUAGCUAAUACCGCAUACUAUUGGAGCGGCCGAUAGCGGAUUAGCUAGUUGGUGGGGUAAAGGCUCACCAAGGCGACGAUCCGUAGCUGGUUUGCGAGGGAGACCAGCCACGUUGGGGCUGGUAGAGGGCCCAUACUCCUACGGGAGGCAGCAGUGGGGAAUUUUGGACAAUGGGGUAAACCCUGAUCCAGCCAUCCCGCGUGUGCGAUGAAGGCCUUCGGGUUUUAAAGCACUUUUGGCAGGGAAGCGGUACCUGCAGAAUAAGCACCGGCUAACUACGUGCCAGCAGCCGCGGUAAUUC
This 407-nucleotide ribosomal RNA is filed under the name uncultured bacterium. RNAcentral's name for it is "partial 16S ribosomal RNA". It matches the Rfam family "Bacterial small subunit ribosomal RNA", at positions 30 to 526 of the family's 1533-position model. The record is from RNAcentral.